CAGUCGCCGCGGGAAUACGGAGGGUGCAAGCGUUAAUCGGAAUUACUGGGCGUAAAGCGCACGCAGGCGGUUUGUUAAGUCAGAUGUGAAAUCCCCGAGCUUAACUUGGGAACUGCAUUUGGAACUGGCAAGCUAGAGUCUUGUAGAGGGGGGUAGAAUUCCAGGUGUAGCGGUGAAAUGCGUAGAGAUCUGGAGGAAUACCGGUGGCGAAGGCGGCCCCCUGGACAAAGACUGACGCUCAGGUGCGAAAGCGUGGGAGCAAACAGGAUUAGAUACCCCGGUAGUCCCUGUCUCUUAUACA
RNAcentral lists this ribosomal RNA (301 nucleotides) under uncultured bacterium. RNAcentral describes it as "partial 16S ribosomal RNA". It matches the Rfam family "Bacterial small subunit ribosomal RNA", at positions 509 to 808 of the family's 1533-position model. The record is from RNAcentral.